RNAcentral lists this non-coding RNA (45 nucleotides) under Schistosoma mattheei. The record is from RNAcentral. Lineage: Eukaryota; Metazoa; Platyhelminthes; Trematoda; Strigeidida; Schistosomatidae.
GUCCAACUAACAAGUUCCAAAUAGGACGAAAUGCGCGUCUUGGAC